UCUCCGUAGGUGAACCUGCGGAGGGAUCAUUACAGAGUUCAUGCCCUACCGGGUAGAUCUCCCACCCUAUGUUAUUAUUACUUUGUUGCUUUGGCGGGCCGUUAGGCUCCGGCCCGACUACCGGCCCCGGCUGGUAAGCGCCCGCCGGAGGACCCAAAACCCUGAAUAUUAGUGUCGUCUGAGUACUAUAUAAUAGUUAAAACUUUCAACAACGGAUCUCUUGGUUCUG
Molecule: unclassified non-coding RNA, 229 nt
Filed under: plant metagenome
Description: partial contains small subunit ribosomal RNA, internal transcribed spacer 1, and 5.8S ribosomal RNA
Source: RNAcentral